CCCUUAGAUGUUCUGGGCUGCACGCGCGCUACACUGACGCACGCAACAGGUGCCUGCUCCGAGAGGACUGGGUAAUCAUUUGAGUGUGCGUCGUGAUGGGGAUAGAAUAUUGUAAUUAUUACUCUUCAACGAGGAAUUCCUAGUAAGCGCCAGUCAGCAGCUUGCGCUGAUUACGUCCCUGCCCUUUGUACACACCGCCCGUCGCUCCUACCGAUGGGUGAUCCGGUGAAUGAUUCGGACUUCAGCGGCUCCCCUGGGGUGCGCCGGAGAAAGUUUUGUGAGCCUUAUCGCUUGGAGGAAGGAGAAGUCGUAACA
This 315-nucleotide ribosomal RNA is filed under the name uncultured eukaryote. Its description in RNAcentral is "partial 18S ribosomal RNA". It matches the Rfam family "Eukaryotic small subunit ribosomal RNA", at positions 1470 to 1796 of the family's 1831-position model. The record is from RNAcentral.